UAAUUCCAACCGUGCUGCAUUC
This 22-nucleotide non-coding RNA is filed under the name Rattus norvegicus (Norway rat). The record is from RNAcentral. Lineage: Eukaryota; Metazoa; Chordata; Mammalia; Rodentia; Muridae.